Molecule: ribosomal RNA, 400 nt
Filed under: Arthrobacter sp.
Lineage: Bacteria; Bacillati; Actinomycetota; Actinomycetes; Micrococcales; Micrococcaceae
Description: bacterial SSU rRNA
Rfam family: Bacterial small subunit ribosomal RNA
Source: RNAcentral
CAAGUCGAACGAUGAAGCGGUGCUUGCACCGUGGAUUAGUGGCGAACGGGUGAGUAACACGUGAGUAACCUGCCCUUGACUCUGGGAUAAGCCUGGGAAACUGGGUCUAAUACCGGAUAUGACCGCUCCACGCAUGUGGUGGUGGUGGAAAGCUUUUGUGGUUUUGGAUGGACUCGCGGCCUAUCAGCUUGUUGGUGGGGUAAUGGCCUACCAAGGCGACGACGGGUAGCCGGCCUGAGAGGGUGACCGGCCACACUGGGACUGAGACACGGCCCAGACUCCUACGGGAGGCAGCAGUGGGGAAUAUUGCACAAUGGGCGCAAGCCUGAUGCAGCGACGCCGCGUGAGGGAUGACGGCCUUCGGGUUGUAAACCUCUUUCAGUAGGGAAGAAGCUAACGU